GUAAUCUGGCAUCUGGACUACAAUUCCCAAGAUGCCCCGGGAGCGAGCGCACUUUCGGACGCCGUCUCCGGGACCUGGAGGUGAUAAUGAGGUGGUGCAGAAGUGAAGCUUCGGGUAUUUAAACACAUCCGGUCACCAACACAGGAGCUUGGGAACAUGCAGACCACAGUGCCAUUAGUCAAGCAUUUCAUGAGGUUUCUAUGAUAUUCCAUAAGGCAAGAUGGAGAAACUGAACUAGAGUGCGGUGCUGUGGAUGAGGCAGCAAUCAGCUGAAUUAGGAACAGGAACUGUCAGGAUGUCUACAGCACUGAAGCCCAGGACUCCAGCCUGCACCAGGCUCUCACCAAUGCUUGGAAAGUCUAUGUACUCAAGGUAUGCUCAUCGGGUUUGUAACAAGGCUACCAGAAGUUGGAGGCAAGAUAAACACCAGAAGACUAUAAAAGUCAGUUGGGGGCCCUCAGCAGUGAAAGCACAGGUUCUUACACAGGACCUGGGUUUGGUUCCAAGCAUAUCAUGGCUCACAACCAUCCAGAACUCUACAUGGACAUCCCAAAUGCAAGUGGUGCAUGUACAUCCACUCAUGCAAACACUCAUACAUGUCAAAUAAAAAUGUUUAAUUUUUAACAUGAA
Molecule: non-coding RNA, 630 nt
Organism: Rattus norvegicus (Norway rat)
Lineage: Eukaryota; Metazoa; Chordata; Mammalia; Rodentia; Muridae
Source: RefSeq, a predicted model, not a curated record